Long non-coding RNA from Planococcus citri (citrus mealybug), 1086 nucleotides. RefSeq lists it as uncharacterized. The record is from RefSeq and is a predicted model, not a curated record. The transcript is spliced from 2 exons. NCBI's taxonomy places the organism in Eukaryota, Metazoa, Arthropoda, Insecta, Hemiptera, Pseudococcidae.
ACGUACGUAUAACACUGACAUGCUACAAGUGCCCAGAUUUAUUCGGCGGAAUCGUCGUACAACGCAUUAAUCUCGUAAUCUCCGCUUCCCUCACUUUUCUUCCCAUACCAUACCAUCUACUAUCGUUACGUUAUUCCUUAUUGUUUUCCAUGUACGUACUUUCAAAUUGAAACCACGAUGAGAAAUAACGCCUCAUAUCUAUUCCACUUCAUUUGUAUAACGCUUAUAAAACGUAAACAGCUCGAAUACUUGUACAGUAUUGAAAUAAUUUUUCCAUAUUUGUUUUAAUGUCUCAUUAACGAAUACGCAGAAGGAUCACAGACGACUAGGAAGGAGGGGAAAGGAGAGAACAUCAGCCAGCGUGAAAUUUCGUCCACGUGUAGGUUACUUGUUACACGCUGACGCUUAUCGGAUAUUACAUUUUCGCAUCUGUAAAACAUCGUAUAAAGGCUAUGAGAUAGGUCAGUAGAGCAGUGAUAAGUUGAUUGGAAUUAGAAUGUUCAACUACGUCAUUAUUUACUCGUAAAGAUCUGACGUUGCGUUGGCAAAAAUAGGUGAGAAGGGAGAAAUGAGGGUUAUAUGAAAAACUUGAUCGAUUAUUUUCCAGCCCACACAGGAAUAAGGAUUACGGUUUUGGUCGCAAAAAUUGAAAAAAAAUUACGUAUCGUGUUGAGUUUAAGAGAACGUGGAAUUUUGGAAGCGAAUGAACAUGAAAUCCUCGUUUGAUAACCAUGUUUUCAAGACAAUUUUUCAAGCUGUCAAAUUGAAGACUUUGCAAGAACAGAGAUGCAGAUAUGCAAAAUUCUAAUUUCAAAUUCCAAUUUUCUCGAUAUGAAUUAUAAUUUCUCAUCUGAAAUUAUUAUUUUUCAUCGUGUCAUGAAACGUGGAGAAAAUUAUGUCUGAUUAUAAAUAGGGGAGAAUUUGAAUCUUGAUUUUUCCAUUUUAUAAGGGUUCCCUGAGUGGCUCAAACUUGGAUUUUUUCCAAGGGAGAAAAACUUUAGCGUAGUUCAUAGUUUUAAAAUUUGCAUGCUCAAAAUGGAGAUUUCCUUGUUGAUUUUUCUCAAAAAAAUCGUACCUACUCAUUUU